UGGGCGAAUCUCGGAACAGGAUAAAUGCA
RNAcentral lists this non-coding RNA (29 nucleotides) under Mus musculus (house mouse). The record is from RNAcentral. Lineage: Eukaryota; Metazoa; Chordata; Mammalia; Rodentia; Muridae.